Molecule: ribosomal RNA, 955 nt
Filed under: Staphylococcus aureus
Lineage: Bacteria; Bacillati; Bacillota; Bacilli; Caryophanales; Staphylococcaceae
Description: partial 23S ribosomal RNA
Rfam family: Bacterial large subunit ribosomal RNA
Source: RNAcentral
AUCAAAGAAGGUAAUAAUCCUGUAGUCGAAAAUGUUGUCUCUCUUGAGUGGAUCCUGAGUACGACGGAGCACGUGAAAUUCCGUCGGAAUCUGGGAGGACCAUCUCCUAAGGCUAAAUACUCUCUAGUGACCGAUAGUGAACCAGUACCGUGAGGGAAAGGUGAAAAGCACCCCGGAAGGGGAGUGAAAUAGAACCUGAAACCGUGUGCUUACAAGUAGUCAGAGCCCGUUAAUGGGUGAUGGCGUGCCUUUUGUAGAAUGAACCGGCGAGUUACGAUUUGAUGCAAGGUUAAGCAGUAAAUGUGGAGCCGUAGCGAAAGCGAGUCUGAAUAGGGCGUUUAGUAUUUGGUCGUAGACCCGAAACCAGGUGAUCUACCCUUGGUCAGGUUGAAGUUCAGGUAACACUGAAUGGAGGACCGAACCGACUUACGUUGAAAAGUGAGCGGAUGAACUGAGGGUAGCGGAGAAAUUCCAAUCGAACCUGGAGAUAGCUGGUUCUCUCCGAAAUAGCUUUAGGGCUAGCCUCAAGUGAUGAUUAUUGGAGGUAGAGCACUGUUUGGACGAGGGGCCCCUCUCGGGUUACCGAAUUCAGACAAACUCCGAAUGCCAAUUAAUUUAACUUGGGAGUCAGAACAUGGGUGAUAAGGUCCAUGUUCGAAAGGGAAACAGCCCAGACCACCAGCUAAGGUCCCAAAAUAUAUGUUAAGUGGAAAAGGAUGUGGCGUUGCCCAGACAACUAGGAUGUUGGCUUAGAAGCAGCCAUCAUUUAAAGAGUGCGUAAUAGCUCACUAGUCGAGUGACACUGCGCCGAAAAUGUACCGGGGCUAAACAUAUUACCGAAGCUGUGGAUUGUCCUUUGGACAAUGGUAGGAGAGCGUUCUAAGGGCGUUGAAGCAUGAUCGUAAGGACAUGUGGAGCGCUUAGAAGUGAGAAUGCCGGUGUGAGUAGCGAAAGA